GCUCUAAAAAUGAGAGACAACUACUUGGAUUAACAGAGGGUGGUGAAGUGAAUAAGAUAAUCCAAGUAUGUAUAUGGUAGCCAUGAGUUCACAAACAAUGCAUAGAUAUGAUAAUUGCAAAUUCAGUUCAGGUUCUAAUAGAUAGGGAAUGGCAUCAGAUAAGCGAGUUUCGAAUCAAAGUAGUAUAGUCAAGUUACAAAUUCAAAGCAGGGUGCAGUCUUACUUCAGAGAUACAAUCGGUUAUGCAACAGAGAACUAACAACCUGGGCAUUGAACUUACUUCAUUGAAUCAAAACAUGCUUAUCGGUUUGAAAUCAUCAUUAUCCCCUAUGCAAAUGAGCAAUCCUAAAUGCAAGGACACUAUAUACAAUCCUAAAAUGAAAUGCAAUCUACAUGACACUCUGUUUAUGUGAAAUCAUUUUCUGAAAAAAUUUCA
This 436-nucleotide small RNA is filed under the name Arabidopsis thaliana (thale cress). Its description in RNAcentral is "ATSL206130". Lineage: Eukaryota; Viridiplantae; Streptophyta; Magnoliopsida; Brassicales; Brassicaceae. The record is from RNAcentral.